UGGGGAAUUUUGGACAAUGGGGGAAACCCUGAUCCAGCCAUCCCGCGUGUGCGAUGAAGGCCUUCGGGUUGUAAAGCACUUUUGGCAGGAAAGAAACGUCAUGGGUUAAUACCCCGUGAAACUGACGGUACCUGCAGAAUAAGCACCGGCUAACUACGUGCCAGCAGCCGCGGUAAUACGUAGGGUGCAAGCGUUAAUCGGAAUUAAUGGGCGUAAAGCGUGCGCAGGCGGUUCGGAAAGAAAGAUGUGAAAUCCCAGAGCUCAACUUUGGAACUGCAUUUUUAACUACCGGGCUAGAGUGUGUCAGAGGGAGGUGGAAUUCCGCGUGUAGCAGUGAAAUGCGUAGAUAUGCGGAGGAACACCGAUGGCGAAGGCAGCCUCCUGGGAUAACACUGACGCUCAUGCACGAAAGCGUGGGGAGCAAACAGG
RNAcentral lists this ribosomal RNA (429 nucleotides) under Acidobacteriota bacterium. RNAcentral's name for it is "Acidobacteria bacterium partial 16S ribosomal RNA". It matches the Rfam family "Bacterial small subunit ribosomal RNA", at positions 355 to 776 of the family's 1533-position model. Lineage: Bacteria; Pseudomonadati; Acidobacteriota. The record is from RNAcentral.